CCUACGGGUGGCAGCAGUGAGGAAUAUUGGUCAAUGGACGCAAGUCUGAACCAGCCAUGCCGCGUGCAGGAAGACGGCUCUAUGAGUUGUAAACUACUUUUGUACGAGGGUAAACGCAGAUACGCGUAUCUGUCUGAAAGUAUCGUACGAAUAAGGAUCGGCUAACUCCGUGCCCGCAGCCGCGGUAAUACGGAGGAUUCAGGCGUUAUCCGGAUUUAUUGGGUUUAAAGGGUGCGUAGGCGGUCGUAUAAGUUAGAGGUGAAAUCCCGAGGCCUAACUUCGGAAUUGCCGCUGAUACUGUUCGGCUAGAGAGUAGUUGAGGUAGGCGGAAUGUAUGGUGUAGCGGUGAAAUGCUUAGAGAUCAUACAGAACACCGAUUGCGAAGGCAGCUUACCAAGGUACUUCUGACGUUGAGGCACGAAAGCGUGGGGAGCAAACAGGAUUAGAUACCCCAGUAGUC
Molecule: ribosomal RNA, 460 nt
Filed under: uncultured bacterium
Lineage: Bacteria
Description: partial 16S ribosomal RNA
Rfam family: Bacterial small subunit ribosomal RNA
Source: RNAcentral